This 87-nucleotide non-coding RNA is filed under the name bovine gut metagenome. RNAcentral describes it as "yjdF RNA". It matches the Rfam family "azaaromatic riboswitch aptamer (yjdF RNA)", at positions 6 to 91 of the family's 101-position model. The record is from RNAcentral.
UCGGAGAUAAAAACACAAUCCCGUCGGGUAGUCGGGAUGCGCCUGGUAAGGCGUCAGUAACCUGCCUCCUUGGUUGUCCCUUCUCCG